This 21-nucleotide unclassified non-coding RNA is filed under the name Mus musculus (house mouse). RNAcentral describes it as "oocyte_clustered_small_RNA12111". Lineage: Eukaryota; Metazoa; Chordata; Mammalia; Rodentia; Muridae. The record is from RNAcentral.
GGCCGGCGCAGAUCACUGCAG